AUUUAUUGAUUGAUUUAUUCCUGCAGAUUUCAAAGAGCAGACAUUUAUUCCAGGCAAUGAUGUGAUUUUACAGUGUGGAAAUGUCACUGAUAUCAACUGGAAUGAAUUAAUUUAUAUCGUCUGGAACAUCAGCCUGCAAGACAGAAAAUGUUGGCUUGGUUUGUCUCCCAAGCUGGACGACAAAUGUAAAGAUGGAAAGAGGCUGUACAACACCUCAGAUGGAGUUUACUUAGUCAUUCCCAAGAUUUCAACAGAAGAUGAAGGAUUUUAUUCUUGUGAUGUAUCGUAUAAAGCAGGAAGCUAUGCUGUAAAUGUGUCUGUAAACGUUAUCAACGUUUCCACCCAGCUGUACAGAGAAAAGAUUGCUGUCUGUCGGGCCACAUACACACAAAAGACAGCACCCACUCUUCAUUGGGAACCUGCCUUGAACUUUUCCACCAGUAUCAGCUCUGUUGAGAAGCUUGGCAGGUUUUUUAUGAUGGAGAAUCGAAUAUAUCUGCCGGACAAUGUCAACAUCAGUGAGCUCACCUGUGUGGCCACAUACACCUCCAAGUCCGGCUCUGUUCAGCACAAGAGCACACUUCAUCUUAAACAAAAUUCAUCAACUGGAACACAAGAAACUUCCUCUUUUCCAUCGAAAAUUAUUGCCAUAUCAGUUGGUUCUGUUUGUUUUAUUCUUGUAUCUCUGGCCGUGGUUUACAUACUCUGCAGAAAGCUUAAAGACUUAAGUGCACUGAAGAUGCUUUGCUGCAAAUCCAAAAUCUCAACACCAGCUGAAGACAAACCACCCCAGGUAAGAUGUCUCUAUCAAACCCUGUUUUUUAUAUUACA
RNAcentral lists this long non-coding RNA (831 nucleotides) under Sinocyclocheilus anshuiensis. Its description in RNAcentral is "lncRNA (ENSSANG00000011383.1)". The record is from RNAcentral. Lineage: Eukaryota; Metazoa; Chordata; Actinopteri; Cypriniformes; Cyprinidae.